RNAcentral lists this ribosomal RNA (119 nucleotides) under Pteropus alecto (black flying fox). The record is from RNAcentral. Lineage: Eukaryota; Metazoa; Chordata; Mammalia; Chiroptera; Pteropodidae.
UGUUACGGCCAUGCCACCCUGAACAGGCCCAAUCCCAUUUGAUCUUGGAAGCUAAGCAGGGUUGGGCUUGGUUAGUACUUGGAUGGGAGACCACCCUGCAAGACUGGGUGCUGUAGAUA